Molecule: ribosomal RNA, 253 nt
Filed under: uncultured bacterium
Lineage: Bacteria
Description: partial 16S ribosomal RNA
Rfam family: Bacterial small subunit ribosomal RNA
Source: RNAcentral
GACAGAGGUGCCAAGCGUUAGGCGGAAUCACUGGGCUUAAAGCGUGUGUAGGCGGGUUUGUAAGUACCUUGUGAAAUCCCACGGCUUAACCGUGGAACUGCUGGGUAUACUGCGAAUCUUGAGCUGUCUAGGGGUUGCAGGAACAAACGGUGGAGCGGUGAAAUGCGUAGAUAUCGUUUGGAACGCCAAUGGUGAAAACACGCAACUGGGGACAUGCUGACGCUGAGACGCGAAAGCGUGGGGAGCGAACAGG